UGGGGAAUUUUGGACAGUGGGCGCAAGCCUGAUCCAGCCAUGCCGCGUGCAGGAUGAAGGCCUUCGGGUUGUAAACUGCUUUUGUACGGAACGAAAAGACUCCUUCUAAUAAAGGGGGUCCAUGACGGUACCGUAAGAAUAAGCACCGGCUAACUUCGUGCCAGCAGCCGCGGUAAUACGAAGGGUGCAAGCGUUACUCGGAAUUACUGGGCGUAAAGCGUGCGUAGGUGGUGGUUUAAGUCUGCUGUGAAAGCCCCGGGCUCAACCUGGGACCUGCAUUUGUGACUGUAUAGCUAGAGUACGGUAGAGGGGGAUGGAAUUCCGCGUGUAGCAGUGAAAUGCGUAGAUAUGCGGAGGAACACCGAUGGCGAAGGCAAUCCCCUGGACCUGUACUGACGCUCAUGCACGAAAGCGUGGGGAGCAAACA
This 427-nucleotide ribosomal RNA is filed under the name uncultured bacterium. Its description in RNAcentral is "bacterial SSU rRNA". It matches the Rfam family "Bacterial small subunit ribosomal RNA", at positions 355 to 774 of the family's 1533-position model. The record is from RNAcentral.